Molecule: small RNA, 564 nt
Filed under: Pan troglodytes (chimpanzee)
Lineage: Eukaryota; Metazoa; Chordata; Mammalia; Primates; Hominidae
Description: processed transcript
Source: RNAcentral
AAUUUGGGGGCUCUUGAGAGAUGAGAGAAACAACGACUGGAGGGAUUAAGAAGAACUCUUAGGAGCAGCUUGGCUUAAAGGCUGUGUGGGACGUGCCUGCUUUCCCUUCGCCUUCCACCAUGAUUGUAAGUUUUCUGAGACCCCCUCAGCCAUGUUUCCUGUAGAGCCUGUGGAGUUUCUUUGACCUUCUCCCAUCUUCCAGUCAGAGGCUAAACCCAGGCGCUCUGCUGCCAGUCCUGACAGACCCCGCCCUGAAUGAUCUCUAUGUGAUUUCCACCUUCAAGCUGCAGACUAAAAGUUCAGCCACCAUCUUCGGUCUUUACUCUUCAACUGACAACAGUAAAUAUUUUGAAUUUACUGUGAUGGGACGCUUAAACAAAGCCAUCCUCCGUUACCUGAAGAACGAUGGGAAGGUGCAUUUGGUGGUUUUCAACAACCUGCAGCUGGCAGACGGAAGGCGGCACAGGAUCCUCCUGAGGCUGAGCAAUUUGCAGCGAGGGGCCGGCUCCCUAGAGCUCUACCUGGACUGCAUCCAGGUGGAUUCCAUUCACAAUCUCCCCAGGG